GUGCCAGCAGCCGCGGUAACACGUAUGGGGCAAGCGUUGUUCGGAAUUAUUGGGCGUAAAGGGUAUGUAGGCGGUUUUGUAAGCCUGGUGUGAAAUCCUGCAGCUUAACUGUAGAAUUGCAUCGGGUACUGCAAGACUUGAAUCACAGAGGGGAAACUAGAAUUCCAGGUGUAGGGGUGGAAUCUGUUGAUAUCUGGAAGAAUACCGGUGGCGAAGGCGGGUUUCUAGCUGAUGAUUGAUGCUGAGGUGCGAAAGAGCGGGGAGCAAACAGGAUUAGAUACCCUGGUAGUCCGCACAGUAAACGAUGUACACUAGGUGUGGGGGCAUGAGUCUCGGUGCCGAAGCUAACGUGAUAAGUGUACCGCCUGGGAAGUAUGCUCGCAAGGGUGAAACUCAAAUGAAUUGACGGG
Molecule: ribosomal RNA, 410 nt
Filed under: uncultured Spirochaetaceae bacterium
Lineage: Bacteria; Pseudomonadati; Spirochaetota; Spirochaetia; Spirochaetales; Spirochaetaceae
Description: bacterial SSU rRNA
Rfam family: Bacterial small subunit ribosomal RNA
Source: RNAcentral